This 492-nucleotide ribosomal RNA is filed under the name uncultured bacterium. Its description in RNAcentral is "partial 16S ribosomal RNA". It matches the Rfam family "Bacterial small subunit ribosomal RNA", at positions 29 to 507 of the family's 1533-position model. The record is from RNAcentral.
AGUGAACGCUGGCGGUAGGCCUAACACAUGCAAGUCGAACGGCAGCACAGUAAGAGCUUGCUCUUACGGGUGGCGAGUGGCGGACGGGUGAGGAAUACAUCGGAAUCUACUUUUUCGUGGGGGAUAACGUAGGGAAACUUACGCUAAUACCGCAUACGACCUACGGGUGAAAGCAGGGGAUCUUCGGACCUUGCGCGAUUGAAUGAGCCGAUGUCGGAUUAGCUAGUUGGCGGGGUAAAGGCCCACCAAGGCGACGAUCCGUAGCUGGUCUGAGAGGAGGAUCGGCCACACUGGAACUGGGACACGGUCCAGACUCCUACGGGAGGGAGCAGUGGGGAAUAUUGGACAAUGGGCGCAAGCCUGAUACAGCCAUACCGCGUGGGUGAAGAAGGCCUUCGGGUUGUAAAGCCCUUUUGUUGGGAAAGAAAAGCAGCAGGUUAAUACCCCGCUGUUCUGACGGUACCCAAAGAAUAAGCACCGGCUAACUUCGUG